CCGUUUCAACCCUCUUCUUUUUCCAUCGCUUACGCACAUAAUUCCAUGCCUCUUUCUUCGUAUCCUUUGAAUAAGAUAAGUUACACAUCUCAAAGAACAUACGCUAUGUGCACGAGGGCAUGCGUUUAAAAUUUGAUAAGAUCAAGUUCAAGAUUGAGAAUCUUGAUUUGUGAUCGGCUCUUGGGGGCAGUCGAAAAGGCACCGUGUAGUCUUGGCGAGGACGGGCCAUCCAGAGGGAGCUGAGGGCUUGGAGGCGGUGGAAGUAAUCAGCAAUGGCUAGAAGGCUCCGUGCCGCCUGGUGGGUCGUCAACAGCUGGUGCAGCCGGUGUACGGUCUGGUGCCUAAGGUGAUCGGCCUGCAAGGUUGGAAAGGAGGUGCAUUUGCCGGGUUGGUCAAUUGCAUGGUCGGUUCCGAUGGACGGUUCGAGCAUCUUGGUUCAGCCAAAACCA
Molecule: long non-coding RNA, 449 nt
Organism: Tarenaya hassleriana
Lineage: Eukaryota; Viridiplantae; Streptophyta; Magnoliopsida; Brassicales; Cleomaceae
Exons: 3
Source: RefSeq, a predicted model, not a curated record